GGUGGCUCAGUGGUAGAGCACUUGCCUUGCAAGCCUGAAGCCCUGGGUUUGAUUCCUAAGCACUA
This 65-nucleotide transfer RNA is filed under the name Dipodomys ordii (Ord's kangaroo rat). It matches the Rfam family "tRNA". From Rfam's summary of the family: Transfer RNA (tRNA) molecules are approximately 80 nucleotides in length. Their secondary structure includes four short double-helical elements and three loops (D, anti-codon, and T loops). The record is from Rfam by way of RNAcentral. Lineage: Eukaryota; Metazoa; Chordata; Mammalia; Rodentia; Heteromyidae.